RNAcentral lists this ribosomal RNA (450 nucleotides) under uncultured bacterium. RNAcentral describes it as "bacterial SSU rRNA". It matches the Rfam family "Bacterial small subunit ribosomal RNA", at positions 354 to 796 of the family's 1533-position model. The record is from RNAcentral.
GUAGGGAAUAUUGCGCAAUGGGCGAAAGCCUGACGCAGCGACGCCGCGUGGGUGAUGAAGCUCUUUGGAGUGUAAAACCCUGUCAGUGGGGAAGAACCGCAUACGGAGUAACUGCCGUAUGCCUGACGGUACCCGCAGAGGAAGCUCCGGCUAACUCCGUGCCAGCAGCCGCGGUAAUACGGGGGGAGCGAGCGUUGUUCGGAUUUACUGGGCGUAAAGGGCGCGUAGGUGGGUCAUCAAGUCGAAUGUGAAAACCGGCGGCUCAACCGUCGGCCUGCAUCCGAUACUGUUGAUCUUGAGUACGGGAGAGGAAAGCGGAAUUCCUGGUGUAGCGGUGAAAUGCGUAGAUAUCAGGAGGAACACCGGUGGCGAAGGCGGCUUUCUGGCCCGAUACUGACACUGAGGCGCGAAGGCCGGGGGAGCAAACAGGAUUAGAAACCCCAGUAGUCC